UCCUAAUUGAUUAUUUCGAAUCACAUAUAGGUAAACGAGAAGAAAUCAUGGAAAAGAGUUUAUCUGACCAAGAGCAGUCUGAGAAGGAUGAUGAAAUAUCACUUUCUGAUGGGAAACGAGGUGAUGAUGUUGUUGAUGAUGAGGAACCAAAGCGGCAUUGCGCA
Molecule: long non-coding RNA, 164 nt
Organism: Ipomoea nil (Japanese morning glory)
Lineage: Eukaryota; Viridiplantae; Streptophyta; Magnoliopsida; Solanales; Convolvulaceae
Exons: 5
Source: RefSeq, a predicted model, not a curated record